GCCAGUGUGGCAUAGUUGGUUUGAGUGCUGGACUAUGACUCUGGAGAGGAGGGUUCGAUUCCCAGCUCGGCCA
This is a non-coding RNA of Phrynosoma platyrhinos (Desert horned lizard), 73 nucleotides long. The record is from the annotation of a GenBank genome assembly. NCBI's taxonomy places the organism in Eukaryota, Metazoa, Chordata, Lepidosauria, Squamata, Phrynosomatidae.